This 429-nucleotide ribosomal RNA is filed under the name Acidobacteriota bacterium. RNAcentral's name for it is "Acidobacteria bacterium partial 16S ribosomal RNA". It matches the Rfam family "Bacterial small subunit ribosomal RNA", at positions 355 to 776 of the family's 1533-position model. The record is from RNAcentral. Lineage: Bacteria; Pseudomonadati; Acidobacteriota.
UGGGGAAUUUUGGACAAUGGGGGAAACCCUGAUCCAGCCAUCCCGCGUGUGCGAUGAAGGCCUUCGGGUUGUAAAGCACUUUUGGCAGGAAAGAAACGUCAUGGGUCAAUACCCCGUGAAACUGACGGUACCUGCAGAAUAAGCACCGGCUAACUACGUGCCAGCAGCCGCGGUAAUACGUAGGGUGCAAGCGUUAAUCGGAAUUACUGGGCGUAAAGCGUGCGCAGGCGGUUCGGAAAGAAGGAUGUGAAAUCCCAGGGCUCAACUUUGGAACUGCAUUUUUAACUACCGGGCUAGAGUGUGUCAGAGGGGGGUGGAAUUCCGCGUGUAGCAGUGAAAUGCGUAGAUAUGCGGAGGAACACCGAUGGCGAAGGCAGCCUCCUGGGAUAACACUGACGCUCAUGCACGAAAGCGUGGGGAGCAAACAGG